RNAcentral lists this ribosomal RNA (120 nucleotides) under Erinaceus europaeus (western European hedgehog). Lineage: Eukaryota; Metazoa; Chordata; Mammalia; Eulipotyphla; Erinaceidae. The record is from RNAcentral.
GUAUACGGCCAUGCCACCCUGAACACGCCUGAUCUCGUCUGAUCUCGGAAGCAAAGCAGGGUCGGGCCUGGUUAGUACUUGGAUGGGAGAAAUGGCAGGUUUAACUUGGGGUCUUAUAGC